GUUCACAGUGAAGAUAAUUAAGGAUUCUGCCAACUUCAUCUUCGUCACCAGUUACGUCACUAUUGAGUGUGAGACCGGAAAAUGGGAAAACAGUCCUGGAAAUUCCAUAGAAGCUUGCGUAUCUUCCUAAACCACAGUUUUAAUAUAUAAUCUUCCUCAAAACAUGCUCCCUUAAACAUGAGAGAGGAUCUUCAGCGACAAGGAUGGUUCAAACGUUUAGACUUGAGACCGUAAAAUGAUUCAAUGAUAAUAGAUUGAUGAUGAUCUUUGGAUGUUCUUAUUCGCUAUUGAACAGUAAAGAUAAUUAAGGAUUCUGCCAACUUCAUCUUCGUCACCAGUUACGUCACUAUUGAGUAUGAGGCCGGAAAAUGGGAAAACAGUCCGGAAAAUACCAUUAAAGCUUGCGUAUCUUCCUAGACCACAGUUUUAAACGUAGGAUAAUUAAUCGUUUCGCCAAGUUGUAAAAUUUUUAGUAAUUUUGCACUUUAAAUUUAUAAUUCCUUUUCAAAAAAAUAUGUAAACCAAAAAAAGAUAUCCAUUAUUUGUUUAAUAAGUACAUUUUUUUUGUUUACUAUAUUCUGAUAUUUUUCGCGAAAUAAUCAAUUGGAUAUUAAUUUAAAUGGUUUUGUUAUUUUUCAGUUAAAAGUUAAAGUUCACAAUGAAAUGAAUUAAUUCAAAAUAUUUUAUUUAUUUGAUAAGUUAAAUUCACACUUUAAAUCGCUUUUUGCGCUUCUGUUUUUUUCCGUUUUGAGUUUGUACUUUUUGAACAAAAUAUUAGUGAACAAUUUUUGUUAUUUUUUACGACAUUAGGAAUUAAUUUUUUUUACAGUUUUUGAAUUGUUACUUUCUAGUGUAUUUACCUUUACAUUCAAUGGUAAUUUUGGUAUUUUGAUUUAUUAUUUCUUUUCUAUUCCAGCUACUAAAUUUUUAUCCAAUUGCGUUCAUGUUAUCAGCAGUAAUUAAUCUGCUGUAUGUAAUAGGGGUUUAUGAUUAGGGAGUUACAAAAUUACAGAGAAUAUAAUAAUUUUUUUAAA
Agrilus planipennis (emerald ash borer) is the source of this 1034-nucleotide long non-coding RNA. RefSeq lists it as uncharacterized. The record is from RefSeq and is a predicted model, not a curated record. Lineage: Eukaryota; Metazoa; Arthropoda; Insecta; Coleoptera; Buprestidae. The transcript is spliced from 3 exons.